Molecule: ribosomal RNA, 1650 nt
Filed under: human gut metagenome
Description: bacterial LSU rRNA
Rfam family: Bacterial large subunit ribosomal RNA
Source: RNAcentral
AGUUGCAGGUAUUAGACCCGAAACCGGGUGACCUAUCCAUGAGCAGGCUGAAGCGGUGGUAAGACACCGUGGAGGGCCGCACCCACGUCUGUUGAAAAAGCCGGGGAUGACUUGUGGAUAGCGGAGAAAUUCCAAUCGAACUCGGAGAUAGCUGGUUCUCCCCGAAAUAGCUUUAGGGCUAGCGUUAUUUUAGAUUACCGGAGGUAAAGCACUGAAUGGGCUAGGGGCCGCGAGGUUACCGAACCCUAUCAAACUCUGAAUGCCGGCUAAUUGAUGAAUAGCAGUCAGACUACGUGAGAUAAGUCUCGUGGUCAAAAGGGAAACAGCCCAGAUCUACAGCUAAGGUCCCAAAUGAACACUAAGUGGAAAAUGAUGUGAAACUGCGAAGACAACCAGGAUGUUGGCUUAGAAGCAGCCACUCAUUCAAAGAGUGCGUAAUAGCUCACUGGUCGAGUGGUUUUGCGCAGAAAAUGUAACGGGGCUAAGUGUUCAACCGAAGCUUAGGCAGACGCAAGUCUGGGUAGGGGAGCGUUGUAUGCGGGGUGAAGUCAGAGCGAAAGCACUGGUGGACUUCAUACAAGUGAGAAUGCCGGAAUAAGUAGCGAGAAUUAUGUGAGAAUCAUAAUGGCCGAAAAUCUAAGGUUUCUUGGGGAAGGUUCGUCCGCCCAGGGUAAGCCGGGAGCUAAGGCGAGGCCGAAAGGCGUAGUCGAUGCACAUACGGUAGAAAUUCCGUAACCACCGAACUUUAAGCAUAAGGGACGCUUUCAUUAAGUCUAACCCCGGCGAUGGUUGCCCGGGGCGAAAGGGACCGAAAAAUAGUAGGGAAGUAGAUGGCGUGAGAGACGAGAAAAGCUUAUGUGUAUACUAAGGUGCCCGUACCGCAAACCGACACAGGUAGAUGAGGAGAGUAUUCUAAGGCCAACGGGAGAAGGGUUGUUAAGGAACUCGGCAAAUUGGCCCCGUAACUUCGGGAUAAGGGGCGCCUGCGAGAGCAGGCCGCAGUGAAAAGGCCCAAGCGACUGUUUAGCAAAAACACAGCUCUCUGCUAAAUCGAAAGAUGACGUAUAGGGGGUGACGCCUGCCCGGUGCUGGAAGGUUAAGGGGAGUGCUUAGCGCAAGCGAAGGUGCGAACUUAAGCCCCAGUAAACGGCGGCCGUAACUAUAACGGUCCUAAGGUAGCGAAAUUCCUUGUCAGGUAAGUUCUGACCCGCACGAAUGGCGUAACGAUUUGGGCACUGUCUCAACAGCCCGCCCGGCGAAAUUGUAGUACCGGUGAAGAUGCCGGUUUCCCGCAACUAGACGGAAAGACCCCAUGGAGCUUCACUGUAGCUUGAUAUUGGAUCUCGGUAUUCCAUGUACAGGAUAGGUGGGAGCCUGGGAAGCAAGUGCGCCAGCAUUUGUGGAGGCAACCUUGGGAUACCACUCUUGGGGUAUUGGGAUUCUAACCUGCGGCCGUGAAUCCGGUCGGGGGACACUGUCAGGUGGGCAGUUUGACUGGGGCGGUCGCCUCCUAAAGAGUAACGGAGGCGCUCAAAGGUUCGUUCAGCACGGACGGAAAUCGUGCACUGAGUGUAAACGCAAAAACGAGCCUAACUGCGAGAAUGACGGUUCGAGCAGUAACGAAAGUUGGAGUUAGUGAUCCGGCGGUAU